This 261-nucleotide ribosomal RNA is filed under the name uncultured prokaryote. RNAcentral's name for it is "partial 16S ribosomal RNA". It matches the Rfam family "Bacterial small subunit ribosomal RNA", at positions 524 to 784 of the family's 1533-position model. The record is from RNAcentral.
UACGUAGGUGGCGAGCGUUGUCCGGAUUUACUGGGCGUAAAGGGAGCGUAGGCGGACUUUUAAGUGAGAUGUGAAAUACCCGGGCUCAACUUGGGUGCUGCAUUUCAAACUGGAAGUCUAGAGUGCAGGAGAGGAGAAUGGAAUUCCUAGUGUAGCGGUGAAAUGCGUAGAGAUUAGGAAGAACACCAGUGGCGAAGGCGAUUCUCUGGACUGUAGCUGACGCUGAGGCUCGAAAGCGUGGGGAGCAAACAGGAUUAGAUA